GAGGGGAUAGCUCAGUGGUAGAGUGCGUGCUUUGCAUGCUCAAGGUCCUGGGUUCAAUCUCCAGUACCUCCA
Molecule: transfer RNA, 72 nt
Filed under: Camelus bactrianus (Bactrian camel)
Lineage: Eukaryota; Metazoa; Chordata; Mammalia; Artiodactyla; Camelidae
Also listed under: 2 other names
Rfam family: tRNA
About the family: Transfer RNA (tRNA) molecules are approximately 80 nucleotides in length. Their secondary structure includes four short double-helical elements and three loops (D, anti-codon, and T loops).
Source: Rfam by way of RNAcentral